Molecule: ribosomal RNA, 240 nt
Filed under: uncultured bacterium
Lineage: Bacteria
Description: partial 16S ribosomal RNA
Rfam family: Bacterial small subunit ribosomal RNA
Source: RNAcentral
CAAUCCCCGAGUAAAGUGGCGCACGGGUGAGUAACACGUGAAUAAUCUACCUCCGAGUGGGGAAUAACUGAGGGAAACCUUAGCUAAUACCGCAUAAUACCUACGGGUCAAAGGAGCAAUUCGCUUAAGGAGGGGGUCGCGGCAGAUUAGCUAGUUGGCGGGGUAAUGGCCCACCAAGGCAGUGAUCUGUAUCCGGCCUGAGAGGGCGCACGGACACACUGGAACUGAAACACGGUCCAG